RNAcentral lists this transfer RNA (73 nucleotides) under Clonorchis sinensis. It matches the Rfam family "tRNA". Rfam says of the family: Transfer RNA (tRNA) molecules are approximately 80 nucleotides in length. Their secondary structure includes four short double-helical elements and three loops (D, anti-codon, and T loops). Lineage: Eukaryota; Metazoa; Platyhelminthes; Trematoda; Opisthorchiida; Opisthorchiidae. The record is from Rfam by way of RNAcentral.
UCCGUGGUAGCUCAGUUGGUAAAGCAGUUGCCCGCCGAGCGAGAGGUCACGGAUUCGUGUCCCGUUCAAGGAU